GAUGAACGCUGGCGGCGUGCCUAAUACAUGCAAGUCGAACGGGGAGUAGCAAUACUCUUCGUGGCGAACGGGUGAGUAACGCGUUGGUACCUGCCCCGAAGCGGGGGAUAACGGACCGAAAGGUCCGCUAAUACCCCAUGUGCUCGGUACGAGUAAAGGUGAAAACCACUUUGGGAGGGGCCUGCGUCCCAUCAGCUAGUUGGUAAGGUAACGGCUUACCAAGGCGAUGACGGGUAGGGGACCUGAGAGGGUGGCCCCCCACAAUGGAACUGAAACACGGUCCAUACACCUACGGGUGGCAGCAGUAGGGAAUAUUGGUAAUGGGCGCAAGCCUGAACCAGCAACGCCGCGUGUGCGAUGACGGCCUUCGGGUUGUAAAGCACUUUUGACUGGGACGAGGAAGGACGGUACCGGUCGAAUCAGCCUCGGCUAACUACGUG
Molecule: ribosomal RNA, 440 nt
Filed under: uncultured bacterium
Lineage: Bacteria
Description: partial 16S ribosomal RNA
Rfam family: Bacterial small subunit ribosomal RNA
Source: RNAcentral